GUGCUCGCUUCGGCAGCACAUAAACUAAAAUUGGAACCAUACAGAGAAGAUUAGCAUGGCCCCUGCGCAAGGAUGACACGCAAAUUUGUGACGUGUUCCAUGUUUUU
This is a small nuclear RNA of Ictidomys tridecemlineatus (thirteen-lined ground squirrel), 107 nucleotides long. NCBI's taxonomy places the organism in Eukaryota, Metazoa, Chordata, Mammalia, Rodentia, Sciuridae. The record is from Ensembl.